RNAcentral lists this small RNA (696 nucleotides) under Saccharomyces arboricola H-6. Its description in RNAcentral is "RNA of unknown function 21". It matches the Rfam family "RNA of unknown function 21". The record is from Rfam by way of RNAcentral. Lineage: Eukaryota; Fungi; Ascomycota; Saccharomycetes; Saccharomycetales; Saccharomycetaceae.
AUUUUCCAUUUUUUCCAAAUAGAAAAAAAGAAAAACCCGAAAUAGUGAAGAAAGUUCGGGGUUAACCAAGACUGGACUGGGGUGGGUGGUGGACCCACAUAACGUUACUCUUUCCACCUGAACCAGAAUACGGAUCAUUGUACACGAAAUAUUGGUUUAGCAAUACAUCCGGGUAGUGUAUCACUAUUUACGGAAGUUUCAAACAAUGGCGGCUAAAUGAUGAAGACACAACCUAAUUAGCUCUUUUUGACUAAAGGAGCCAAAUCAUCGUGUUGUUCACAGUACAAUAUAUGUGAAAGGGGAGGGAUAAACCGUCUUUGAUUACGGGAGAUAGGCAAACGGGAAACGAGGAGUGGGAAAAUUUAGAAAAGGUAUACCUGAUUAAUGAUGAAACAUUUAAGAAACUGUAGAAACCGAAGCAUAGGUGCUAAAGCCUUUGGAACUAUGUGUCCUUCGUUCUCUCGGAAAAGAGCGAUGAUACUUUGAGGAAAGUUCUCUUUUGUUUUUGUAGUCUCUUUCCCCAUAUAUAUAUAAAUAUGAUAUAUUACUCGGGCCGGUACUUUUUUUUUAGCCGCCGAAAUUAGGAUUCGAAAAUUAACAACCUAAAGGGGGUAAAAAUAGUUAAGAUAGUAUAUAUAUAUAAAUUGAAUUAUAUAUUUCAAUAAGGAAUGGUAUAAAAUUUUUCGUGGGGUUAGU